This is a non-coding RNA of Pseudonaja textilis, 3391 nucleotides long. The record is from RefSeq and is a predicted model, not a curated record. Lineage: Eukaryota; Metazoa; Chordata; Lepidosauria; Squamata; Elapidae.
UAGCACAUAUCAUAGCUGUAAGACUGGUUUUAUUUUUAUUUCAAAUCGAUAUCCUACUUGCACUUUUACUUGAAUGUAAGUUUCUUAAAAGAAAACAAGGCUGUACUCAAAAUUCAGUGGAAUUUAAUAGAUUUUACAGUUAUUCCAAAUGCAUGAUAAAAUCUUCACUAAAUGUUAAAUCAUUAUAAACAUUUGCAUUCUGGCUCCACUAAAGCAAAUAUGGUUCAAAGUUACGAUUUACACUAACAUGCAUAGAUAUGCUACUUCGCUAGUUAAAUAGGUAGCCCUCAAUUUACAGCCAUAAUUGGGACUAGAAUUUCGGUUCUUAAGCAGUGUGGUCAUUAAAAAAGACAUCAUGUAACUAAUAUCACUUAGUGAUCGCAAUCUCAGCUAUCCUCUUGCUGUUAAGCAAAUGUUACCGGUCAUUAUUUGAGGACCCACCCCAAUCCAAGCCAUUCUGGGCUUGGUUCCUCCCAUCCCCAAGCCUCAGUAAGAUAAGGAAUUGCCAACAUCCCCCCAUUCACCCAUCUCUGCCCUUUGGGCUACCCUGCACUUUUCUUCCCCUCCCCCCCUUUUUUUGCAGUCCAAAGCCAGCCCCAUAUAGACCAAAGUUGUAGCAAAAAGGUGCACUCCGACUCAAGGAGUAGCUGCUUUGCACUCCCUACUCCCCUCCCCGCCUUUUUUUAAAAACUGCAUGAAGCCAGGUCCAUGCAGCCCAGCAGUUAGGCCAGAUAUGCCUUGUCAGCAGCAGAAACAAGAAGGUGGAAAAGGUGAGCUGGGGUAGAGUGCAAGGUGGCAGGGAGCCAAAAGGGCCCAGGUGGUGGGAGAUAGCUAGGUGGAAGUAGUUGCAGUGUCCUUGCAUUCCUAAGUUCAUGGAUUCUGAUCAUGUGAUCUUAGGGGUGCUGCAACAACAACAAAACUUCGAACAGUGGCUAAAAGAACUGCCUAUACAAAAGUAAAUUCACAUAUGACAGUGAUUAUUGUAAAUUCAAGUAAACUUCCCAAGAAGUAAAACCUAUCAAAUUCAAGACUAUUCAAUGUUUUACUAAAAGUGGAUAAUCCUUUUUAUUAGAAUUCAACACAUUUAUAAUAGUAAAGUAUCAGAAAAAUCAAAUAUUUUAAACCUUGAUUUGAAGGUCAGUUACAAUCUGGAAUCUACCCUUUUCACCACCAGAUGUUAGUUUCAGUAGGCAAGAAAAACUGAUUUCAGGUAGUAGAUCCAUGUCAACAUCUUUAUUUAAAUUUCCUAGUACAUUUUUGGAGGAAAAGUGUUGUACCAAUUUACAUUGCAGUGUUUCAUGAAAACCUAUAACCGUGUAAGUAAUAAAGAAAUGAGUGCAAAUGAUUAUUCCGGACCUGACCUACCUUCAGUCUAAUCCUAAUUUUACAUUUUUCUGGCUUUCAGCUACUAAUCAUAUCAAAUUAUAAAUUCAAGUAUUUUAAUUAGAAAUUACUGCAUUGCUUCUUCACUAAAUGAAAAGGAUCAAAGAAAAUAUUUUUAAGGCCUUUAACGAAUUGACUUAGCAUAAACGCUAUGGUGAAAAAAAUAUUUCCGUGUAAGGUAUUCUCAUUUGAGCUCUUUGUUUUGUGCUGUGAUUUACCUGAAGAUGCAAAACAGUUUAGAAUUCUUAAAAAAAGAUUUGUAGCAAAACUGCAAAUAAAAUAUCUAUAGAAGAGUUUUGAUUUAAAAUUAAGGAUGUCUAUUUGUAUCUUUCAAUUUGGAAAUCAAUUUAUUCUAAGAUAGAGAAAAAAAAAGUGUAUAAUUUUGUUGCAAUGUAAGUUCAAAACAUUUUAAGUUAUCAGUACUACACAACUCAGAAAUCUAUAUAUUUCAUCUAAUACAUUUCACCCUUAAGUUAGUUUAUCACUUAUCAAGGCUUCUUCAGAAUAAACUUAGAUUUUUAUCCUGGCUAUUGCAAAUGGCAUGUCUCAGUAUAGUAUUUAAUGUGAUUUUUAUGAGCAGAAGUUUCAUCUUCAUAUCAAUCUGGCUUUGUAAGCAGCACCUCACAAAAUUUAGAUAUAUUCUUACUAGAAAAUUACUACAGAUUUACUAAGCAGAAUGUUAAGUGAAAUGACAUAGUUGGCAUUUGCAAGUGAAGAAACCAACUACAGAAAAACAUGUAUUUAUCCUUUUUAUCAAUCAUUAGGCUCAGACUGCAUGUGACAGGAGUAAUUAACUUUAAAACACAUAGAUAUUGCCAAUUUAUGAUGAACUUGAGCCUCUGAAGUAUUCUUCAUAGAACAUGUUUCAGUAAAAAGAUAAAGGGAAGUUGUUACAUAGUUUAUCUGGAAGAACAAGUGACAUUUAACAUAUAACAAGUAACUUCCAAUCCAAAUUAAGAGGAUUACAUCAGGCUUCAAAUACAAUGUUAUAAAGCAAUUUUUUUAAAAAAAAUCCCAGUUUUCAUAAUGAAGCAUAUAAAAAGAGAUCUUUCCAGGAGUGGGAUGCUACUGGUUCAGCCCAGUUCUAUAGAACCGGUAGCUCUGAAGAGCAGCUGACACCAAACCGGUUCACUGUUUGGCCCACCCACCCGCCUGGGCUCUAGGCUGUCCUUUUUCCUAUGCUUUUACCUCAGCUGCUUUGCGCAGCACAACUGAGUGCCGUUUGUCAGCUGGAGAAGGUAAAUGCUCACCGGAGCUGGUUGUGCACGUGUGCAUUUGGCACGCGUUUGGCGCGUGUUUGUCAUACAUACGUGCAUUCCCCGAACCGGUUGUUAUGCCAGUAGGAUCCCACCCCCUGGAUCUAUCAGUAUACAUCCUAGAACUACAAUUAGAUGGACUUUUUUCUUGUUUUUUAAGAAUAUUACAAAUAUUUGUUUCUAUCUUGUGGAGACAUUAAUUUCAACCCUGUAAGUUUUCCUAUUGCUAGCUAUCUCCCUGAAUCAGAGAUUUUCCUUAUAUCUCACAAAAAUGUACAAAAAUGACAGACAGAAGGUAUACUCAAAACCUCUGAAAACAGUUUUUCUCAAUACACCACAAUGCUACUAUAUGGAAUAGAUUCUUUAGACCAGGGACUUCAAAAGUGGCUUCAGGAUAGAAAGCUAUCUGAAGCCUUAAUGUCAGCUUCUUCAGAUCAGAUGAUAUUUUCACCCUACAGUCACCAAUGUUUGCAAUCACACAAUGGACUUUAGCAUAUUUUACCCAACUGCCUGAUGUUCAAUGAACCUAAAAGGGUUUACAGCCAAUGGCAAACAUCCCUAUGACUGAUGUUACCAGAUAAGAAUAGCACUGUACCUGGAUACUGUCAAUAACUAUAUUUUGCUGCUUACUACUGAAUGUCUACCCUAAAGUAUUAUUGGUGAAUGCAGUCCAGUAGCCAUAAAUCUUCAAGCAUCAAAAAUCUUCUUUACUUCCACUAAGAGGAGGAGAGUUUGAUCUGACAGGAGUUUUG